GACGAACGCUGGCGGCGUGCUUAACACAUGCAAGUCGAACGGAAAGGCCCUGCUUUUGUGGGGUGCUCGAGUGGCGAACGGGUGAGUAACACGUGAGUAACCUGCCCUUGACUUUGGGAUAACUUCAGGAAACUGGGGCUAAUACCGGAUAGGAGCUCCUGCUGCAUGGUGGGGGUUGGAAAGUUUCGGCGGUUGGGGAUGGACUCGCGGCUUAUCAGCUUGUUGGUUGGGUAGUGGCUUACCCAGGCUUUGACGGGUAGCCGGCCUGAGAGGGUGACCGGGCACAUGGGGACUGAGAUACGGCCCAGACUGCUACGGGAGGCAGCAGUGGGGAAUAUUGCACAAUGGGCGGAAGCCUGAUGCAGCAACGCCGCGUGCGGGAUGACGGCCUUCGGGUUGGAAACCGCUUUAGCCUGUGACGAAGCGGGAGUGACGGUAAUGGGUAAAGAAGCACCGGCUAACUACGUG
Molecule: ribosomal RNA, 468 nt
Filed under: uncultured bacterium
Lineage: Bacteria
Description: partial 16S ribosomal RNA
Rfam family: Bacterial small subunit ribosomal RNA
Source: RNAcentral